GGUUUCCGUAUAUACCAUUCACUUGCGGAUGAUAGGGGCAGUGAAAAGCUGCUAACCCCUAGUGAGCUCUCCCUACUCCUUUGUACAUAGAGCUCGCAACACCAUCAAAUUGCCGGGACAUCCUGUUCACAUGCUGCUGGUACCUCCAGGCACAGGGAAACCUUGCACUGGAACCAUGGUGAAAGCCGUGGGUAUGGUAAAAAUCUGGCAGCUAGGGACGAUCGGCAGCCAAGCGCUAAGGGAGUCUCAUUUUAACUGAUGAGGCUCUGAAGCGUGCAGUUCACAGACUAAAUGGUGGUGGGUUCCCUUGGGGAGCUUAAGAUAUAGUCGGUCCCCACCGCAAGGUGGGCUCAUGGGAGAAAAGCCUUGUAAGAAGGCUGGAGAGCCCAUGAGCAGCUUGAGCAGUUGUUCUCAAGCUGGGGUAAACGAGAGGUGA
This 436-nucleotide non-coding RNA is filed under the name Dunaliella parva. RNAcentral's name for it is "group I intron". The stretch from base 10 to 350 matches the Rfam family "Group I catalytic intron". Rfam says of the family: Group I catalytic introns are large self-splicing ribozymes. They catalyse their own excision from mRNA, tRNA and rRNA precursors in a wide range of organisms. The record is from RNAcentral. Lineage: Eukaryota; Viridiplantae; Chlorophyta; Chlorophyceae; Chlamydomonadales; Dunaliellaceae.